RNAcentral lists this ribosomal RNA (253 nucleotides) under uncultured bacterium. Its description in RNAcentral is "partial 16S ribosomal RNA". It matches the Rfam family "Bacterial small subunit ribosomal RNA", at positions 524 to 776 of the family's 1533-position model. The record is from RNAcentral.
UACGGGGGGGGCAAGCGUUGUUCGGAUUCAUUGGGCGUAAAGGGUGCGUAGGUGGCGUGGUAAGUCGGGUGUGAAAUUUCGGAGCUUAACUCCGAAACUGCAUUCGAUACUGCCGUGCUUGAGGACUGGAGAGGAGACUGGAAUUUACGGUGUAGCAGUGAAAUGCGUAGAGAGCGUAAGGAAGACCAGUGGCGAAGGCGGGUCUCUGGACAGUUCCUGACACUGAGGCACGAAGGCGAGGGGAGCAAACAGG